Molecule: ribosomal RNA, 484 nt
Filed under: uncultured bacterium
Lineage: Bacteria
Description: partial 16S ribosomal RNA
Rfam family: Bacterial small subunit ribosomal RNA
Source: RNAcentral
AUUGAACGCUGGCGGCAGGCCUAACACAUGCAAGUCGAGCGGAUGAAGGGAGCUUGCUCCUGGAUUCAGCGGCGGACGGGUGAGUAAUGCCUAGGAAUCUGCCUGGUAGUGGGGGAUAACGUCCGGAAGCGGGCGCUAAUACCGCAUACGUCCUGAGGGAGAAAGUGGGGGAUCUUCGGACCUCACGCUAUCAGAUGAGCCUAGGUCGGAUUAGCUAGUUGGUGGGGUAAAGGCCUACCAAGGCGACGAUCCGUAACUGGUCUGAGAGGAUGAUCAGUCACACUGGAACUGAGACACGGUCCAGACUCCUACGGGAGGCAGCAGUGGGGAAUAUUGGACAAUGGGCGAAAGCCUGAUCCAGCCAUGCCGCGUGUGUGAAGAAGGUCUUCGGAUUGUAAAGCACUUUAAGUUGGGAGGAAGGGCAGUAAGUUAAUACCUUGCUGUUUUGACGUUACCAACAGAAUAAGUACCGGCUAACUUCGUG